ACAUUUUUCAUCUCUUUCCCUCUCCCUCUCUCUCUCUCUCAGACAAAACUUAACCCUUCUUUCUUUCUUUCUUUCUUUCUUCCAUUUUCACUCCUCUCUCUUUUUCCUUCAAACCCUUGAACCACCGCCUGUUUACGGCCACCACACAUCCGCCAACACUGUCACUCCGCUGCGCGGGACCAAACAACAACCACCACUUUCAGAUUAUACGCGAUUAUUUCUCUUUUCCUUUCACUCUAUUGAUUUCAGGGUUUGUGCUUCUAAUCCUCAUUGUUUUGAUUUUCGAUUUUAGGUUUUGCCAUCAAAAAACAUGUCUUAUUGCUUAUUUCUGACCACUGUGAAUCGUAUCCCUUGCAAGCUUAUUAUAAGAGUAUUUGAAAGAAGAAAACACUCAGAUCCUGCAACAACAAACAAAUUACAUGAGUUUCAAUUUUUCAAUCUCUUCUUAUUGUUGAUUUAAGGAUUGCAAUCAUGGUGUUUGGAACAAACUUCAUAGGUAAAGCAAACUGGAAGCCCUUACUUUCGGUCAACAAAAUGAUGCAAACACUCUAACAUUUUCUCAAUAUGAUGCAAUUGUUGCUGAACCUGAACAAGAACCAAAAUCAUAUGGAAACUCACCACUUCCCUUAGCUGUAGAUAGAACAAGAAGAAAAGAUCCUUUAGAUGGCUUCAUUGUAUACACUAAUGAAUGGAAUAUAAGUGACCACCAUUAUUGUGUUGGGAUUUGAAGAAAAUGUUGUCAGGACCAAUUGGAUUACAUAAUCAAGAUCAAAAGUUGUUUUACAAAGACAAAUAAAGAGAUUCAAAGGCUUUUUUUGACAUAGUUGGUGUAAAGAGAUUCCAAUUAAAUUAAGCUUGAUGCGACUAUUGACAAUAUAUUUACCACUUGAAGGACAUCUUGCAGAAUGUAGUUUGUUGCUGUUAGACAUCUUCACAUUUGAAUUGGUCCCUUAAACUGAC
Molecule: long non-coding RNA, 960 nt
Organism: Vicia villosa (hairy vetch)
Lineage: Eukaryota; Viridiplantae; Streptophyta; Magnoliopsida; Fabales; Fabaceae
Exons: 5
Source: RefSeq, a predicted model, not a curated record